CCCUUAGAUGUCCGGGGCCGCACGCGCGCUACACUGAGUGGAUCAGCGGGUCAGGUUGCGCGAAAGCGUUUCCUAAUCUUUAAAUCCGCUCGUGAUGGGGAUUGACGGUUGCAAUUUUCUGUCAUGAACGAGGAAUACCUUGUAAGCGCGGGUCAUCAUCCCGCGCUGAAUACGUCCCUGCCCUUUGUACACACCGCCCGUCGCUCCUACCGAUUGAAUGGUCCGGUGAAAUCUUCGGAUUGAGACUUUGAUUUCUUCACGGAAAACGUUGUUUUAUAAAGUUGAUUAAACCUUACCAUUUAGAGGAAGGUGAAGUCGUAACA
RNAcentral lists this ribosomal RNA (323 nucleotides) under uncultured eukaryote. RNAcentral's name for it is "partial 18S ribosomal RNA". It matches the Rfam family "Eukaryotic small subunit ribosomal RNA", at positions 1470 to 1796 of the family's 1831-position model. The record is from RNAcentral.